UUUAAGCAUAUAAUUAAGCGGAGGAAAAGAAACUAACCAGGAUUCCCCUAGUAAGGGCGACUGAAGCGGGAAAUGCUCAAGAUGUGAAUCUGCGCCUUGUGCGCCGAAUUGUGGUCUGUAGACUGUGACAUUACUAGCCGGGCCAAGUCCCUUGGAAAAGGGCAGCAGAGAGGGUGAGACUCCCGUCCGCCUGGCAAGAUGAGUCACUAGUCAACGAGUCGAGUUGUUUGGGAUUGCAGCUCUAAGUGGGUGGUAAAUUCCAUCUAAAGCUAAAUAUUGGUGGGAGACCGAUAGCGUACAAGUACCGUGAGGGAAAGAUGCAAAGAACUUUGAAAAGAGAGUUAAAGAGUACCUGAAAUUGCUGAAAGGGAAGCGAAGGAAACCAGUGUUGGAUCGAUCAUAUUUCCCUGGUAGCUUGCUACUUGGGCGCUGUGUUUGGUCUUGGGUUGUCCUUGGUUGUCAGUAUCGGAAGAGCGCUAAAAGAGUUGAUUUUGGUUGCUAGCGAUAUUGGUGACUGAGGAGGACGAAAUGGUUUUCUUUACCCCGUCUUGAAACACGGACCAAGG
RNAcentral lists this ribosomal RNA (566 nucleotides) under Cylindrotheca sp. Its description in RNAcentral is "partial large subunit ribosomal RNA". It matches the Rfam family "Eukaryotic large subunit ribosomal RNA", at positions 33 to 671 of the family's 3401-position model. Lineage: Eukaryota; Bacillariophyta; Bacillariophyceae; Bacillariales; Bacillariaceae. The record is from RNAcentral.